GUGCCGAAGCUUNACGGCAUAAAGCAUUCCNNCUGGGGAGUACGGUNNCAAGGNUGNNNCUCAAAGNAAUUGACGGGGGCCNGCACAAGCGGGUGGAGCAAUGUGGUUUCNAUUUNGAACGGCAACGCGGAAGAACCCUUACCCCAGGCUCGAAACGGCAAUUUGACAUCCUGCGAAAGCAGGCUCCCGCAAGGGCAAUUGUCGAGGUGCUGCAUGGCUGUCGUCAGCUCGUGUCGUGAGAUGUUGGGUUAAGUCCCGCAACGAGCGCAACCCUUGUCCGCUGUUGCCAUCAGGUUAAGCUGGGCANNNCUGCGGAGACUGCCGGUGAUAAACCGGAGGAAGGUGGGGAUGACGUCAAGUCAGCAUGGACCUUUAUGUCUGGGGCUACGCACANCUGNUGACUACAAAUGGGCCGAAUAACAAAACCGGUUCGGCGAAAUAACCCGACAAAGGGGUGGGAAAGACCUAAAUUCNGGAAGGAAAAAGGUUCGGGGUUCUCCAAGGUUCCGGGAUUUGCAGGGGCUGGCNAACNGCCUGNAGUGAAGG
Molecule: ribosomal RNA, 546 nt
Filed under: uncultured bacterium
Lineage: Bacteria
Description: partial 16S ribosomal RNA
Rfam family: Bacterial small subunit ribosomal RNA
Source: RNAcentral